This 618-nucleotide ribosomal RNA is filed under the name Salmonella enterica subsp. enterica serovar Blockley. RNAcentral describes it as "partial 23S ribosomal RNA". It matches the Rfam family "Bacterial large subunit ribosomal RNA", at positions 1154 to 1748 of the family's 2925-position model. Lineage: Bacteria; Pseudomonadati; Pseudomonadota; Gammaproteobacteria; Enterobacterales; Enterobacteriaceae. The record is from RNAcentral.
CGUAUCACUUAAAGCGAUUCAGCGGGUUACGACUGACGGAGCGAAGCGACGUCAAAGCGUAUACAAAGUCGAGUCGGUUUAAGGAUACGUUCGUUGGGUAGGGGAGCGUUCUGUAAGCCUGCGAAGGUGGCCUGUGAGGGUUGCUGGAGGUAUCAGAAGUGCGAAUGCUGACAUAAGUAACGAUAAAGCGGGUGAAAAGCCCGCUCGCCGGAAGACCAAGGGUUCCUGUCCAACGUUAAUCGGGGCAGGGUGAGUCGACCCCUAAGGCGAGGCCGAAAGGCGUAGUCGAUGGGAAACGGGUUAAUAUUCCCGUACUUGGUGUUACUGCGAAGGGGGGACGGAGAAGGCUAUGUUGGCCGGGCGACGGUUGUCCCGGUUUAAGCGUGUAGGUGUGUGUUCCAGGUAAAUCCGGUUCACUUUAACACUGAGGCGUGACGACGAGGCACUACGGUGCUGAAGCAACAAAUGCCCUGCUUCCAGGAAAAGCCUCUAAGCAUCAGGUAACAUCAAAUCGUACCCCAAACCGACACAGGUGGUCAGGUAGAGAAUACCAAGGCGCUUGAGAGAACUCGGGUGAAGGAACUAGGCAAAAUGGUGCCGUAACUUCGGGAGAAGGCA